UGGGGAAUAUUGGACAAUGGGGGCAACCCUGAUCCAGCCAUGCCGCGUGUGUGAAGAAGGCCUUAGGGUUGUAAAACACUUUCAGCGGGGAAGAUGAUGACGGUACCCGCAGAAGAAGCCCCGGCUAACUCCGUGCCAGCAGCCGCGGUAAUACGGAGGGGGCUAGCGUUGUUCGGAAUUACUGGGCGUAAAGGGCGUGUAGGCGGUUUGCCAAGUCAGGCGUGAAAGCCCCGGGCUUAACCUGGGAACUGCGUUUGAGACUGGCAGGCUAGAGGUUGGAAGAGGAGAGUGGAAUUCCCAGUGUAGAGGUGAAAUUCGUAGAUAUUGGGAAGAACACCAGUGGCGAAGGCGGCUCUCUGGUCCACACCUGACGCUGAGGCGCGAAAGCGUGGGGAGCAAACAGG
Molecule: ribosomal RNA, 404 nt
Filed under: uncultured bacterium
Lineage: Bacteria
Description: bacterial SSU rRNA
Rfam family: Bacterial small subunit ribosomal RNA
Source: RNAcentral